CCUACGGGUGGCAGCAGUGAGGAAUAUUGGUCAAUGGACGGAAGUCUGAACCAGCCAUGCCGCGUGAGUGAAGAAGCGCCUCGGCGCGUAAAGCUCUGUCAGCAGGAACGAUAAUGACGGUACCUGAAGAAGAAGCCCCGGCUAACUACGUGCCAGCAGCCGCGGUAAUACGUAGGGGGCAAGCGUUAUCCGGAUUUACUGGGUGUAAAGGGAGCGUAGACGGCGGGGCAAGUCUGGAGUGAAAGGCCGGGGCCCAACCCCGGGACCGCUCUGGAAACUGCCCGGCUGGAGUGCGGGAGAGGUAAGCGGAAUUCCUAGUGUAGCGGUGAAAUGCGUAGAUAUUAGGAGGAACACCAGCGGCGAAGGCGGCUUACUGGACCGUGACUGACGUUGAGGCUCGAAAGCGUGGGGAGCAAACAGGAUUAGAUACCCUGGUAGUC
Molecule: ribosomal RNA, 440 nt
Filed under: uncultured bacterium
Lineage: Bacteria
Description: partial 16S ribosomal RNA
Rfam family: Bacterial small subunit ribosomal RNA
Source: RNAcentral